GGACGAAAGUCUGACCGAGCACGCCGCGUGAGUGAAGAAGGUUUUCGGAUCGUAAAACUCUGUUGUUAGAGAAGAACAAGGACGUUAGUAACUGAACGUCCCCUGACGGUAUCUAACCAGAAAGCCACGGCUAACUACGUGCCAGCAGCCGCGGUAAUACGUAGGUGGCAAGCGUUGUCCGGAUUUAUUGGGCGUAAAGCGAGCGCAGGCGGUUUCUUAAGUCUGAUGUGAAAGCCCCCGGCUCAACCGGGGAGGGUCAUUGGAAACUGGGAGACUUGAGUGCAGAAGAGGAGAGUGGAAUUCCAUGUGUAGCGGUGAAAUGCGUAGAUAUAUGGAGGAACACCAGUGGCGAAGGCGGCUCUCUGGUCUGUAACUGACGCUGAGGCUCGAAAGCGUGGGGAGCAAACAGGAUUAGAUACCCUGGUAGUCCCAA
RNAcentral lists this ribosomal RNA (433 nucleotides) under Enterococcus faecalis. RNAcentral describes it as "bacterial SSU rRNA". It matches the Rfam family "Bacterial small subunit ribosomal RNA", at positions 373 to 798 of the family's 1533-position model. Lineage: Bacteria; Bacillati; Bacillota; Bacilli; Lactobacillales; Enterococcaceae. The record is from RNAcentral.